This 125-nucleotide microRNA precursor is filed under the name Mus pahari (shrew mouse). Its description in RNAcentral is "miRNA (MGP_PahariEiJ_G0007081.1)". Lineage: Eukaryota; Metazoa; Chordata; Mammalia; Rodentia; Muridae. The record is from RNAcentral.
GGUUUCUCUGUAUAGCCCUGGCUGUCCUGGAACUCACUCUGUAGACCAGGCUGGCCUUGAACUCAGAAAUCUGCCUGCCUCUGCCUCCCAAGUGCUGGGACUAAAGGCGUGUGCCACCACACCCA